RNAcentral lists this ribosomal RNA (429 nucleotides) under Gemmatimonadota bacterium. Its description in RNAcentral is "Gemmatimonadetes bacterium partial 16S ribosomal RNA". It matches the Rfam family "Bacterial small subunit ribosomal RNA", at positions 355 to 776 of the family's 1533-position model. Lineage: Bacteria; Pseudomonadati; Gemmatimonadota. The record is from RNAcentral.
CAGGGAAUCUUCGGCAAUGGACGAAAGUCUGAUCGAGCAACGCCGCGUGAGUGAAGAAGGUUUUCGGAUCGUAAAACUCUGUUGUUAGAGAAGAACAAGGACGUUAGUAACUGAACGUCCCCCGACGGUAUCUAACCAGAAAGCCACGGCUAACUACGUGCCAGCAGCCGCGGUAAUACGUAAGUGGCAAGCGUUGUCCGGAUUUAUUGGGCGUAAAGCGAGCGCAGGCGGUUUCUUAAGUCUGAUGUGAAAGCCCCCGGCUCAACCGGGGAGGGUCAUUGGAAACUGGGAGGCUUGAGUGCAGAAGAGGAGGGUGGAAUUCCAUGUGUAGCGGUGAAAUGCGUAGAUAUAUGGAAGAACACCAGUGGCGAAGGCGGCUCUCUGGUCUGUAACUGACGCUGAGGCUCGAAAGCGUGGGGAGCAAACAGG